Molecule: transfer RNA, 65 nt
Filed under: Meretrix lusoria
Lineage: Eukaryota; Metazoa; Mollusca; Bivalvia; Venerida; Veneridae
Description: tRNA-Asp
Source: RNAcentral
UCGAAAAUAGUUUACGUUUAAAAUGUUAAAUUGUCAGUUUAAAGAUAUCGAGUUGAUUUUUCGAU